AGAGUUGAUAAAAACUUGAAAAAGUGGUGUUUUAGAAAAGGUGAAAUUGUGAAAAGAAACAAGAAUAAUAAGUCACCUUUGAAAUUAUGGAGCUAGUAAAAAGAAAAACAAAAAGAGAGCUCAUGGUUGUGUUGUUGUUGAAAAAUAAGAAAAGAAGAAAAAAUGGGAUCAAAAAUAGAAUUUGUUAUUGAGUUUGAAUUUAUGGGAAUGCUCCCUUGGGAUAUGCAUUUUUGUUUGAAUUCCCUUAAUCAUACCCUUUCUUUGUAACCCAAGCCACAUUACAACCUUUGAAAGACCUCUUGAUUCUCAUUUUUUCACAUGAUUUAGUGUUUGCUUUG
RNAcentral lists this long non-coding RNA (338 nucleotides) under Lathyrus oleraceus (garden pea). RNAcentral's name for it is "Pisum sativum (pea) long non-coding RNA (PSAT_LNC018158)". Lineage: Eukaryota; Viridiplantae; Streptophyta; Magnoliopsida; Fabales; Fabaceae. The record is from RNAcentral.